RNAcentral lists this ribosomal RNA (253 nucleotides) under uncultured bacterium. RNAcentral describes it as "partial 16S ribosomal RNA". It matches the Rfam family "Bacterial small subunit ribosomal RNA", at positions 524 to 776 of the family's 1533-position model. The record is from RNAcentral.
UACAGAGGGGGCAAGCGUUGUUCGGAAUUACUGGGCGUAAAGGGCGCGUAGGCGGCCUGCUAAGUCGAUCGUGAAAUCCCCGGGCUUAACCCGGGAACUGCGACCGAUACUGGUUGGCUUGAAUUCGGGAGAGGGAUGCAGAAUUCCAGGUGUAGCGGUGAAAUGCGUAGAUAUCUGGAGGAAUACCGGUGGCGAAGGCGGCAUCCUGGACCGACAUUGACGCUGAGGAGCGAAAGCUAGGGGAGCAAACGGG